RNAcentral lists this ribosomal RNA (433 nucleotides) under uncultured bacterium. RNAcentral's name for it is "partial 16S ribosomal RNA". It matches the Rfam family "Bacterial small subunit ribosomal RNA", at positions 29 to 507 of the family's 1533-position model. The record is from RNAcentral.
AACGAACGCUGGCGGCAUGCCUAACACAUGCAAGUCGAACGAGACCUUCGGGUCUAGUGGCGCACGGGUGCGUAACGCGUGGGAACCUGCCCUUAGGUUCGGAAUAACUCCCCGAAAGGGGUGCUAAUACCGGAUAAUGUCUUCGGACCAAAGAUUUAUCGCCUUUGGAUGGGCCCGCGUUGGAUUAGCUAGUUGGUAGGGUAAAAGCCUACCAAGGCGACGAUCCAUAGCUGGUCUGAGAGGAUGAUCAGCCACACUGGGACUGAGACACGGCCCAGACUCCUACGGGAAGCAGCAGUGGGGAAUAUUGGACAAUGGGUGAAAGCCUGAUCCAGCAAUGCCGCGUGAGUGAUGAAGGCCUUAGGGUUGUAAAGCUCUUUUACCCGGGAUGAUAAUGACAGUACCGGGAGAAUAAGCUCCGGCUAACUCCGUG